UUCACCCUUGCUAAUCAAUCAAAUACACUGAAAAUUUGAAUGGUUAAAUCCUAUCCUGGGAUAUUUUUACAAUCAAACAUACACUUGAAAGAAAUUUCUACAACUUUUGUAUGGAGCAUUUCUCCAUAUAUAAACAGCCUCUAAGACCAUGAAAAAAUAGAUCUAAACUGAACUGAACUUUUCAGAAUUAAAACAGAGUACCGUGAUUCUUAGAUUCAACACGACCGCGUCAUCAGGGCUGGCAAAACUAUUAAAAGAGAUCAAUUACCUCAAUCGGGACCAACUCGUAAUAGGAGAAACCAACCUACUGAUCCGUCUUUCUGCAUUCUUCCCCUGUUCAGAUUCCUCCCACCUCCUACUGCAGCAGCACAAGAAGGACAGCAGCAGCGUAAAAGAGGACACAAGUGUGGAAAGUAUAUGCAUCGUAAUAUGUAUUGAGCCAAGAGGAAAUAGAAAGAUUGACAAAAACUAAGGGAGCUACACAAUUCAAACAGGUGGUGGCUAAAAUUUACAGCAUAUACACAUCAAUCGAUGGUGGAUCAUGCAUUAGGUUCCCAAAAUUCAGGGUGGUGAAUGUUUUUGUUAUCUGACUGCUGUGUAGUUUCUCGGAGAUGGAAACAUCUUUUUUUUUUCAUUUCUAAGACUAGAGUUAUGGUUUGUAAAUUAUAAUAGCAAAAAUCAGAAAGGGUUUUAACUCAA
This is a non-coding RNA of Oryza sativa Japonica Group (Japanese rice), 699 nucleotides long. Lineage: Eukaryota; Viridiplantae; Streptophyta; Magnoliopsida; Poales; Poaceae. The record is from RefSeq and is a predicted model, not a curated record.